Acanthopagrus latus (yellowfin seabream) is the source of this 1528-nucleotide long non-coding RNA. RefSeq lists it as uncharacterized. The transcript has 3 exons. The record is from RefSeq and is a predicted model, not a curated record. Lineage: Eukaryota; Metazoa; Chordata; Actinopteri; Spariformes; Sparidae.
CAGAAACGCAACAAGGGAACGUGGCACCGUCCCUUCGAAGGUCCCUAAUAAGUUUGCAUCAAUUUAAAGUAUCCUGUCUGCGAGUGAAUUUAUCUUUCGGAGGCCUCAAGUAUACGCAGCUGUCAGGACUGAACUUGAACUUACUCAACAUGGGACCAUGCUGACAGAUCAAGCCAGCCGCAGUGCCACUUGCCAUGUGCUCCCUCCUGCUCCAAAGGUCUGUGAGGAUCAACCACCGCUUUACUACGAUUAUCUGCUGCAUGUGAGCGAUACGUGCUGACUGGACAACAGAUACAGACUGAAAUCGUCCCAAGUAAGCAUCUUUCAGUUAUCAGUAAUACAGGAGACAACACUGAGGGCCUCAGAAAAUGGAAAUCAUACACAUUGGUUUGUACAAAAACUCUCAGGUCUGUAAAACCCGUCUCAACUUCCAAACGCCCAAGGUGAUGCCAUUAAACUGCAUGUUGUGCCCCAAAUCAACAGUCUAGAUCCCCCAAAUAUUAAUUUCAUUUUCCUCACCAUAGCUGAAAGAACAAGCUGAUCAGUUGGUUAGAUUUUAGACAAUCAGACUAUUUUGAUCAUUGAUUAUUCCCUUUUUGUUGUCUUUGUUGUCGUAUAUUAUUAUAUACUUAAGAUCUUUCACUUUUGGAUACAGCAAGACCUUGGAAGACCUUUCUUGAAAGAGAGAAUUGCAACAUUAUACACCUUUUUCUGACGUAAAUUGUACAAAUGUUACUCAAUUAAUAAUAAAGGAAAUAAUCUUAAUUGAUCGAUAAUAAAAGUAAUUGUUUGUUGCAGCCCUGAUCCUCACAUUUGACAAACUGGAACCAUCAAAUGUUUAGCAUUGUUGCUAGAAGUUAGCAAUUUCUCUCUCUAUCUACGGAUCAAUAACCAAUAAAGCCAAAGUACUGUAACAUCUCUCCACAUGAAUCACAUCUCUCUGUGUGUGUUAGCAGCAGAGUGAAAAAAAAUAUUUCCCAAAGGGACCAAAUAAAGUUAUUAAGACCAAAAAUAUCAGAUGAAAUUUUAAUUUAAUAUCAUUGUACGGUGUUAGAUCUGGUAUUCUAUUCUCUAAGGUAGCAUUAACGUUUUAACUUUAUAGGAUGGUUGUGAUGUAUCACAUAAAAAAAGGAAAUAAUCAUCAGUUUCAGCCCUAAGUGAUAUAAAACAGAGCACCUAAUCUUUGCAUUUUUUGGAGCUGAAACCACAAAAAGCGCGAGGAGUGCUCUAAUGGUUAUAAAACGGUAGUGCUGUCAGUCCCACAGCACUGCUCAGCACUCUUUGUCUUACAGUCACAACUAAUAGGAUACACAGUAUGGAUGCCAACAUACUCUUUGAGAAAUUAGCUUCGUCAGUGAGCUCAGGUCAGUGAUAAAAGCUCGUCAUGAUCACCACAUCAACUGAAGUUGAAUGUAUACCAUCAAUAAUGCAGAUCACAUGGAGGCUGGCUGCCAGUGAGCCAUCCAUACAGAACAAUAACAGCUAAUCAGCUGAUUGGUAUUAAAUAUUUACAUGUCCGAAGCCUGAA